RNAcentral lists this ribosomal RNA (272 nucleotides) under uncultured bacterium. Its description in RNAcentral is "partial 16S ribosomal RNA". It matches the Rfam family "Bacterial small subunit ribosomal RNA", at positions 85 to 354 of the family's 1533-position model. The record is from RNAcentral.
CCGCCGGCGACCGGCGCACGGGUGAGUAACACGUAUGCAACCUGGCCGUGACAGAUGGAUAACCGGGAGAAAUCCCGCCUAAUACAACAUAAUGCCGGGAGGGGACAUCCCCUGCCGGCCAAAGGGGCGACCCCGGUCACGGAUGGGCAUGCGGCGCAUUAGGUAGUUGGUGGGGCAACGGCCCACCAAGCCGACGAUGCGUAGGGGUUCUGAGAGGAAGGUCCCCCACAUUGGAACUGAGACACGGUCCAAACUCCUACGGGAGGCAGCAG